RNAcentral lists this long non-coding RNA (1492 nucleotides) under Piliocolobus tephrosceles (Ugandan red Colobus). Its description in RNAcentral is "lncRNA (ENSPTEG00000002070.1)". Lineage: Eukaryota; Metazoa; Chordata; Mammalia; Primates; Cercopithecidae. The record is from RNAcentral.
UAAUAAAGGUAGUUUACUUUUAUUAAUUUAUGACAUGGACAAUGUAUUGUUUGGUGUUUUUUUGGAUAAACUACAUUGUGGUAAUUCUUAUUAUGGUUCAGGUGAAAACUUUUUAUUUACUUUUAAAAAUACAAAACAAAAAUCGAAGGAGACAACACGUAUGAUUGGUAAUGAAAAAGUAGGUAACGACAAUAUUUCUACUGUUAUACCUUGUUCUACUGAUUCUACUAAUUUUACGACUAAUAACAAUAGUAUUAUCAAUAAUAACAAUUUUGUUGAUACAGGAAAUAAUUUCGAUUCUCCAAAAGUUAAAGAUACUUUAUAUACAGAACAUAAUGACAUGAAUACGAACAAAAUAUAUAAUAAUAAUAAUUUAAAAUCUGCAAAGUCUUUUAAUGUAUCUUAUCAGAGUGAUUUUGAAAAUAGUUCAAAAGUCUUAAAUAAAUGCUCAACUAAUCCAGAACUUAAUAAAACAUUAGUAACAGAUAAUACAUAUAUAUAUAAUAACAAAAAAAAUGAUUAUAAUAUUAUACAUCAAGAUAAUAAUAUUACUGCAUAUAGUAAUAAUUUAUUUAAAACUAGUAGCAAUAGUAGUAAUAGUAGUAGUAGCAGCCAGAAUGUAGUAAAAAGAGAAGGGUUAUCAAGUAUAGAUAAUGACUUUGAUAAAAGAAAAACUUAUAAAACUGACACGGAUGGUAUUGAUGGUACAAGUGAUAAUAAUGAUAUAAAUAAUGAUAAAAANNNNNNNNNNACAUUAUAUAGAAGUGUUUAUAAUAAAGGUAGUUUACUUUUAUUAAUUUAUGACAUGGACAAUGUAUUGUUUGGUGUUUUUUUGGAUAAACUACAUUGUGGUAAUUCUUAUUAUGGUUCAGGUGAAAACUUUUUAUUUACUUUUAAAAAUACAAAACAAAAAUCGAAGGAGACAACACGUAUGAUUGGUAAUGAAAAAGUAGGUAACGACAAUAUUUCUACUGUUAUACCUUGUUCUACUGAUUCUACUAAUUUUACGACUAAUAACAAUAGUAUUAUCAAUAAUAACAAUUUUGUUGAUACAGGAAAUAAUUUCGAUUCUCCAAAAGUUAAAGAUACUUUAUAUACAGAACAUAAUGACAUGAAUACGAACAAAAUAUAUAAUAAUAAUAAUUUAAAAUCUGCAAAGUCUUUUAAUGUAUCUUAUCAGAGUGAUUUUGAAAAUAGUUCAAAAGUCUUAAAUAAAUGCUCAACUAAUCCAGAACUUAAUAAAACAUUAGUAACAGAUAAUACAUAUAUAUAUAAUAACAAAAAAAAUGAUUAUAAUAUUAUACAUCAAGAUAAUAAUAUUACUGCAUAUAGUAAUAAUUUAUUUAAAACUAGUAGCAAUAGUAGUAAUAGUAGUAGUAGCAGCCAGAAUGUAGUAAAAAGAGAAGGGUUAUCAAGUAUAGAUAAUGACUUUGAUAAAAGAAAAACUUAUAAAACUGACACGGAUGGUAUUGAUGGUACAAGUGAUAAUAAU